GUCCACACCGUAAACGUUGGGCGCUAGGUGUGGGACUCAUUCCACGAGUUCCGUGCCGCAGCUAACGCAUUAAGCGCCCCGCCUGGGGAGUACGGCCGCAAGGCUAAAACUCAAAGGAAUUGACGGGGGCCCGCACAAGCGGCGGAGCAUGCGGAUUAAUUCGAUGCAACGCGAAGAACCUUACCUAGGUUUGACAUAUACGAGAACGCUGUAGAGAUACAGAACUCUUUGGACACUCGUAUACAGGUGGUGCAUGGCUGUCGU
This 264-nucleotide ribosomal RNA is filed under the name uncultured bacterium. Its description in RNAcentral is "partial 16S ribosomal RNA". It matches the Rfam family "Bacterial small subunit ribosomal RNA", at positions 793 to 1055 of the family's 1533-position model. The record is from RNAcentral.